UGGAUGUCUGAAUACUGCUACCGAUUCAUCUAUUAUAUGUGUAUAAUACGCGUGUGUAUGUAUGUGUACAUGUCUGUGGCUGCGUUUGCAUCGAUGUUUACGUUGUUUAUUAUCGCUUCGAUAAACUGCGAGAGAUAAACGGCUAAUUCAUCAUCACCGGUACCGAUGUUCCCGUUGUCUUCUCUCACACGCGAUAGGAUCAGCUACCUUCGGGAAAGUUCAGCCUGUCACACGAACUUUCCCAUAAUUAUCUGAAACACCUGACGUUAACGGCAACGAUCCUGCGAAAGCCUUUUAACGAAAAAUCGCCAAAAGAAUUUCCAUUGACGUGAAAAUCGUGACCAAUUUUAACGACUAGGCAGAUAAAGUUGAAAAUUCUCACGUCGUUCGAAAUCAUUUUUACGGACAAUAACAAGGAAGAAGAAGAAUAAGAAGAAGAAGAAAAAAAAGGGGAAGAAAAAUUGGACAUGCAGGUAGUUAUUGAAUGCAGCUAGCUACCUUUGCUGACCGUGAUCUCAAUAGUCGUACAACCAAUCAAAAACUCGUUAGUCUCGCUACGAUUUUAGGGACAACAAAUGUGGGA
Molecule: long non-coding RNA, 583 nt
Organism: Polistes canadensis
Lineage: Eukaryota; Metazoa; Arthropoda; Insecta; Hymenoptera; Vespidae
Exons: 3
Source: RefSeq, a predicted model, not a curated record